CGCCCUACGGGAGGCAGCAGGGGGGUAUAUUGGACAAUGGGGGCGAGCCUGAUGCAGCAAUGCCGCGUGUGUGAAGAAGGCCUUUGGGUUGUAAAGAUCUUUGUUUUGGAAUGAAAGGGUAUUAGCUAAUACGAAGUGAAAUUGACGGUACCURCAGAACAAGCACCGGCUAACUYCGURCCAGCAGCCGCGGUAAUHCGKAGGGUKSRAGCGUUAAUCGGAAUUACUGGGCKUAAAACGU
Molecule: ribosomal RNA, 241 nt
Filed under: uncultured Kingella sp.
Lineage: Bacteria; Pseudomonadati; Pseudomonadota; Betaproteobacteria; Neisseriales; Neisseriaceae
Description: partial 16S ribosomal RNA
Rfam family: Bacterial small subunit ribosomal RNA
Source: RNAcentral